This 71-nucleotide transfer RNA is filed under the name Acanthoscelides obtectus. Its description in RNAcentral is "hypothetical protein". It matches the Rfam family "tRNA". Rfam says of the family: Transfer RNA (tRNA) molecules are approximately 80 nucleotides in length. The record is from RNAcentral. Lineage: Eukaryota; Metazoa; Arthropoda; Insecta; Coleoptera; Chrysomelidae.
AGUCUCUGUAGCUCAGUGGCAGAGCGCUGGUCUUGUAAACCAGGGGUCGUGAGUUCAAUCCUCACAGAUUG